RNAcentral lists this long non-coding RNA (15299 nucleotides) under Hordeum vulgare. RNAcentral describes it as "long non-coding RNA (HVUL_LNC020999)". The record is from RNAcentral. Lineage: Eukaryota; Viridiplantae; Streptophyta; Magnoliopsida; Poales; Poaceae.
CCGCCCUCGACAAGCCUAGGGUGACAAACAAGGUUGGCUCCAACGUCACCUUGAUCAACGUCAUGCAGAUUGCUGGACUCAACACCCUCGGCAUCUCAAUUGCGCGCAUCGACUAUGCUCCCUUGGGUCAGAACCCGCCACAUACGCACCCUCGCGCCACUGAGAUCCUCACGGUACUCGAGGGGACACUGUAUGUCGGAUUUGUCACAUCCAACCUGCCUGCACCCAACAGAAACAAGUUCCUCUCGAAGGUGCUCAACAAAGGUGAUGUAUUUGUCUUCCCCGUGGGGCUCAUUCACUUUCAGUUCAACCCCAACCCCCAUCAGCCCGCUGUUGCAAUUGCCGCGCUCAGCAGCCAGAACCCAGGGGCUAUCACAAUUGCCAAUGCAGUGUUUGGGUCAGACCCAGCAAUAUCAGAUGAUGUUCUUGCCAAGGCGUUUCAGGUGGAAAAGAAUACUAUAGACUGGCUCCAGGCUCAGUUCUGGGAGAACAACCACAAUUAAGUCACACAUUGGGUGAUUACACGGACGACACGUGCGUAAAUUAAGGGCAUGAUUGAGUUCCUAGAUAUGCAUCCUAAUUUAUAAAAUAAAAGGAGCAUAUGUAAUUGUGUGCCUGUAAUCAGUGAAUGUAUUUCUACCUUUUAAAUAAUCAAAAAUAUUGUUUUUUAUCACACUGAUAUGAUCUCACAUGCUUUUUUUUGGUUCUACUGUGUCGUAUUUCUCAUAAUUGAUCAAUAUUUUGGGUUCUUUUCCCCUUAUUCUGAAAUAAUAUAUGAUUAGGUUAAAAAAAAGAAACAAUACAAGAUUAUUUGGUAAUGCAGUAUUUGUUUGACGCUGGUGUUGAACACGUAUUAUUAUCUGGCAAUACAUGUGAAGUAUGCGAUGGGUGGAGCCCGAUUGUGCUCAGGAUUUAAAUGUGAAUGUGGAAUGUGCAAAAGUUGCUUCCUGGACUUGUUGUUCUGGUCUCUCGCUUUCUGGUGCAUGAAAUUAGAAAUAUACAGUUCCUCCAUGUAAUAUUUUUAGCUUCCUUUUGGUUCAAAGCUCUUGUAAGUUCGAUUGACGGCUGCUUUGAUGGAAAUCGAUGAGGUGGCUCAUUUUAUCUAAAUUCUUAUGAGUAGUAUUUUUGAUUUUCUUAAGUUGGGAACUAAAAACACGUUUUUUUACUAAGUUUUGGAAACUGGGCACAACGGAGUCGAGAUUUUAAACAUUAGCUCCAACAUACAUAUAAAAAAUAUGCAUAAAUGUAGAAAAUAAACUUAUUACCGGAAGUGCCUAAUGACACACCUCGAGCAUGCUGGCGGAAGGGAGCAGAUGAGAAGCUGGACCACCUUAAGACUCAACCAGGACCGAUGACGACAUUCAUCCACGAGCCACCUGGAAGAAAACACCUGACUUCGUCGUACUGUCACCUUUGAACUACAGUUGCAUGUCGGAGACGACCCGCUGCUUAAACCAAGUAGUGUCUUGACCAUACCAGCAGACAUGAUGAAAGGAGGACAUUGUUGCAUGUACUACAAGAUAUGUGCAUGCAAUACCGUGAGUCAUUUGAUUUAAGGCAGGGUCGAUUGGAUCGCCAUACCAUUCCGAACACACCACCGUAAAUGGAGAGUGUUGAUUGCACACAUUCUGUAGCAACUUAAAAGAAUGGAGAGUGUUAGAACUAGCCGCUUGCCGUAGAUCAGAUCGCCGUCGUACGCCAACACAACUAUAACCGAAACUAGAACAAAACCUGCACGCUACGAGCUAAAAGCAAGCAAGCUGGCUGGUGGAUCGAUUGUUGGGCUAGCUAGCUAUGGAACUGAUGUAUUCUGCCGUCCGGCUAGAUAAAUCUCAAUCGGAACUACACCAAAGUAUAGCACGCAAACACACGAGAUAAUCUUACAGGAGAGGAGAUCAAGCUAAGCAGACGACUUUGUCUGUGUAGAAAACGAUUGCUUUACAUAACUUACAUCUCUCAACUCCUCUUUGACCUCGUGUGCAUCAGUUCUCACCAUGACCAAGUAUACGUAUAUGAUAUCUAAUAAACUAUGAUGAUGGGUGGCGACUUUUCAUGAAACCAGCGCUCCAUGCAUUGUGCUGACUUGGUUGAGAUGGAUAAAUAAUUGUAAUUACUACUCAGCCAUACAUCGGAUGAUGCAUUAGCGCUUAAGCAUAUUAAAAAGCAAACUUGAAAAGUUUAUGCAAAAUACUAUUCAGAAGCCAAUAGAUGAUUAUUUAGUAAUGUGCUCAGAGGUUUCAACGUGCAAGUUGAAUGUGCAAACGUUGCUUCCUUGAGUCGUUGUUGUGGUCUGCCUUUCCGGGGCAUGUAAUAAGUAGUUUACGGUAGUUCCUGGAGUAUAGCCCACAUACUUGGGCUAUACUUCUCUCAGUGAUAAAACUUCUCUCUGUGUACCAUCACGAGUUUACUCAUAGAUUUCUUCCGUAACUAAUAGUGUCAAGUUAUACACUUAUAUAUACCUUAGUUUUCUCUAAAAGAAACCGAUAUACCUUACUUGAUGUCCUUCUCUUAAUCUAGAAAGGUGUUAAUUAUAAAUAUUUCCAUCUUGAGUGUUUGUAUCCUCCGUAUAUGUUUUGAUUACAGGCUCAAAGUUUCAAUUGAAGGUUUUCUUGAUGUUUUUUAUCCCAAUACAUCUGGGACUCCAACGGGAAUAUUUACAACUUGCACUGAGAUUCGUUGUAUUCUCUGUCUCCUAGAAAUUUGAGGACACUGUUUAUUUUGUGAAGAAAUGAAUAAGACGGACGACUCUAGGGCGGUAGUUAUGUUUUUUAUGGGGCACUGAACCUUUCGGCCUUUCUGUUGUAAUUCUGAAUAUGCCUUAUUUUUCUCGCAAAAAAUAAAGAAUAUGCCUUGUUUUUAUGCAGUCGUCUAGCUUUGAAUGUGUUCCAGUGUCGGUUUUGGAGCGAGUAAAUAACUUUCUGAAUGUAAGCACUUGAACUUGAGCUAUCUUGUCGUGUUGGCUUGAAACUGCCCAGCCCUGGACGAGUUCUCGUUCCCGGAGAAGACGAUGGUGGUGCUGGGCAGUUAGGAGGGCAUCCCGGUGGACAUCAUCCAGGAGGCGGUGGACGUGUGCGUCGAGAUCCCGCAGCUGGGCGUCGUCCGGUCGCUCAACGUCCGUGUCAGCGCCGCCAUCGCCAUCUGGGACUACACCCGCCAGCAGCGGGCCCGCUCCUCCUCCUCGCGGUAGGUAGCUUCCCGCUCUUCCUUGUUGGAGUGUAAAUCAGCCAUGCUUGUUGUUGUAAGAUGCAUGGACCUGAACAUCCAUGGCAAAAACUAGUCAUGAACCUUAGUCAGGACUAGAUUGUUAGAUUUAUGAACUGAAUUGGUCAUGACGAAAAUUCUUUGGCAAGAAAAUUUUAACUGCUCUUGCUCUCCAUCGUCCAUUAAUUAAUGUCGUUGCUUCUUCCUUCAAGUACUCAACCAUUUGGAGAGAAAUUUGACCAGGCAACUGUAUAUCUGGUUGACGUAAUCAUAUGAUACGUAUUAGGUGCGUUAAUGCAUGGAUCGACGCGCCAUGAUUUCUUCCUUGUUUGACACAAUCAAAACUAUUGCUCAUAGAAAUUGUUACUAAGAGGUCUACAUCACAUGGAGUACCUUAAUUUGCUUCUCUAUUUAUUAAAGGGAAAAACGUGUAUCAAAGAUUUGAAUAUGGCUGACCACAUCUCAAAAGUUUAUGCAGACUAAUCUAGUCGGCAGCCAAAGACCAUUUCUAUCCGUUGGGCGGUUCCACUUGACUAUGUCCAUUACUCAUGAGUUCCACCUGCUCGCCAUGCCUAUAUAAAAACAUACAUCCCCAGCAUGUUCCAACCAUCACUCACCCAACAAACAUCUCAGGAAUAUAGGAGAAAACAAGACCCAAAGGAGCUGAAAAAAUGGCAUCCUCCCCUACCUUCCUUCUCCUCGUUGCUCUUUUCGCCUUGAUCUCAUGGCAGGCUGUUGCCUCCGACCCUGGCCCGCUCCAGGACUUUUGUGUUGCCGACAUGCAUUCACCAGGUACUUCUUACUUCCCGCUUUCCCGUCGUACUAUCACCAAGAAAUGAAUUUCUGAAAAUUACCUGUAUGUUAAAAUCACUUCCUAGUAAUACCUAAGCUUACACCCUACAUCUCCUCUAUGCACCAGUGCGUGUCAAUGGGUUUGUUUGCAAGAACCCGAUGGAUGUCAACGCUGAUGACUUCUUCAAGGCAGCCGCCCUCGACAAGCCUAGGGUGACCAACAAGGUUGGGUCCAACGUUACCUUGAUCAACGUCAUGCAGAUUGCUGGACUCAACACCCUCGGCAUCUCAAUUGCACGCAUCGACUAUGCUCCUUUGGGUCAGAACCCACCACACACGCACCCUCGUGCCACUGAGAUCCUCACGGUACUCGAGGGGACACUGUAUGUCGGAUUUGUCACGUCCAACCUGCCCGCCCCCAACAGAAACAAGUUCCUCUCCAAGGUGCUCAACAAAGGUGAUGUGUUUGUCUUCCCCAUGGGGCUCAUUCACUUUCAGUUCAACCCCAACCCCCACCAGCCCGCCGUUGCCAUUGCCGCGCUCAGCAGCCAGAACCCAGGGGCUAUCACAAUUGCCAAUGCUGUUUUUGGGUCAGACCCAACAAUAUCAGAUGAUGUUCUUGCCAAGGCGUUUCAGGUGGAAAAGAAUACAAUAGAUUGGCUCCAGGCUCAGUUCUGGGAGAACAACCAAAACUAAGUCAGGCAUUGGGUGAUUACCCGGAAGAUUAGUGCAUAAACCAAGGAAUUAGUUAAGUUUCUAGACAUGCAUCAUAAGCUGUAAAAUUAAUGGAGCAUAUGUCAGGCCGGUGUGUGUAUGUAAACAUUGAAUGCAUUUCUUCCUUCCAAAUAAUUGACAAUACCAUUUUUUUAUCACACUGAUAUGAUCUCAUAUGCUUUUUUGGUUAUGAUGUCUCGUAUUUCUCACAACAAAUCAAAAUUUCGGUUCUUUUCCCCUUGUUCUAAAACAAUAGAUGAUUAGGUUAAAAAAGAAACAAUACACAAUUAUGUGGUAAUUUAAAUAUGUUUGAUGCUAGGGUUGAACACCUACGACUUUCUUGCAAUACAUGUGAAGUAUGCGAUGGUUGGAGCCCGAUUGUGCUCAAGAUUGAAACGUGAAAGUUGAGUGUGCGAAAGUUGCUUCCUUGAGUCGUUGUUCUGGUAUCUCGCUUUCUGGUGCAUGCAAUAGGAAAUUUACGGUUCCUAUGUAAUGUUUUAGAUUCAUGUUGGUUCAAACUCUUGCAAGUUCGAUUGGCGGAUGCUUUGAUGGGAGUUAAUGAGGUGAUUCGUUUUAUCAAAAAACUCGUAGCAUUAUUUGUUUUUCUUAAGUUGAGAACUAGAAAUACUCCCUCGAUUCCUAAAUAUAGAUCUUUGUAGAGGUUCCUACAUGGACUAUAUACGGAUGUGUGUAGACAUAUUUUAGAGUGUACGUUCACUCCUUUUUCUCCGUAUGUAGUCCAUAUUAAAAUCUCUAGAAAUACUUAUAUUUAAGAAGAGAGGGAGUACGAUUUUCACCAAGUUCUAGAACCUGGACNNNNNNNNNNNNNNNNNNNNNNNNNNNNNNNNNNNNNNNNNNNNNNNNNNNNNNNNNNNNNNNNNNNNNNNNNNNNNNNNNNNNNNNNNNNNNNNNNNNNCCCACAUAUAUCUCGAGUAGUCGUCUACCACGAGGAAGAAAUACUUCUUUCCCGCGUGAGUUGCUGGGGUGAUAGGGCCACAUAGAUCACCAUGGAGCAGCUCGAGUGCAUCACUUGCACGAUAGGUAGACAGAGCAGGGAACGGCCUGCGGUGUUGUUUUCCAACCAAGCACCCGUCACAUACUCGAUCAACAUGGUCGAUAAAUGGCAUCCCGGAUACCAUCUCCAUCUUUGACAUCUUCUUCAAGGCGUAGAAGUUAACGUGUCCAAAUCUAGCAUGCCAUAACCACGAAUCAUCAUCACUCUUGGCGAGCCAACACUCCGGUUGAGAUUGAUCAAGGUUGAGGAUAUAGAGCCUAUUCCGUGUGCGAUUAACACGAGCUAGCACGUUUCGGAGGUUGUCGAAGAUCGUCAUCACUCCGUUCUCGAUAUUCACCUUGCAUCCAUUCUCGUCAAGCUUCCCAAUAGAGAUAAUGUUGUUGCGAAGCCGUGGGAUGUAGUACACUCCGGUGAGUAUGCGAUGUUCGCCUGUGAGACCCUCGAAGAGGACAGAUCCUUGCCCGCAAAUCUCCACAGCUGAACCAUCACNNNNNNNNNNNNNNNNNNNNNNNNNNNNNNNNNNNNNNNNNNNNNNNNNNNNNNNNNNNNNNNNNNNNNNNNNNNNNNNNNNNNNNNNNNNNNNNNNNNNUGGAAACAGUGGUGUGGGGGCGGGGCGGGGCCGGAUCUGAUGCGGGCGGCGUCCGGCGGGGCGGCGGCGGGUUGUGGAGGCGGCGGGGCGGCGGCGGACGGGCGGAAGGUCGCGAGCGGGCGGGCGGGAAAGUAAACGAAGUGGCGGUUGGGCGUUCGCGGGCGGCGGCUGGUUUUGGACCAGAUGCAUCUCGUGAUGUAAAUUUGCACCGCGAGGUGUUGCAUUUUACAUCAAGGAGGCCGCGGUCUAUUUUUUUUUACAUAUGGACUGUCUGUUGAAGCUGCGUUUUUUGCCUCAGACGGUCCAAAAGUUAGUACUAAAUAACUAGAUAAUCAUUUAUUGCUUUGGAGAAGGGGAAAAUAACCCCGAAUUUCAUUUGUUAUGCGAAAUACGAUACAUCAAAACCAAAAUAGCAUACAACAUCAUAUCAGAGUGAUGAGAAAAAAAACAUAUUCUUGAUUAUUCAUAGGACUGAAAUACAUUCAGGGCUUACAAACACACAAUGACAUGAUAUAUGCUCCAUUUAUUUUAUAGAUUAGGAUGCAUGUCUAGAAAGUCAACCAAGUCCUUGGUUUAUGCACUCAUAUUCCGUGUAAUCAAUCAAUUGUGGUUGUUCUCCCAGAACUGAGCCUGGAGAUAGUCUAUUGUAUUCUUUUCAACCUGAAAUGCCUUGGAAAGAACAUCAUCCGAUAUUGGUGGGUCUGACCCAAACACUGCAUUGGCAAUUGUGAUAGCCCCUGGGUUCUGGCUACUGAGCGCGGCAAUUGCAACGGCAGGCUGGUGGGGGUUCGGGUUGAAUUGGAAGUGGAUGAGCCCCACGGGAAAGACAAACACAUCACCUUUGUUGAGCACCUUGGAAAGGAACUUGUUUCUGUUGGGGGCGGGCUGGUUGGAUGUGACAAAGCCAACGUACAGUGUCCCCUCGAGCACCGUGAGGAUCUCAGUGGCGCGAGGGUGCGUAUGUGGUGGGUUCUGGCCCAAGGGAGCAUAGUCGAUGCGUGCAAUUGAGAUUCCGAGGGUGUUGAGUCCAGCAAUCUGCAUGACGUUGAUCAAAGUGACGUUGGAUCCAACCUUGUUGGUCACCCUAGGCUUGUCGAGGUUGGCUGCCUUGAAGAAGUCAUCUGCAUUAACUUCCAUCGGGUUCUUGCAAACGAACCCAUUGACACGCACUGGGUGCAUAAAGGAGAUGUAACAUGUGAGAUUAGAAGUUACAAAGUCAUUCCAACUUGCAUAUAAUUUUCAGAAUCUAAUAGCAACAUAUGUAUCUGGCGAUAACAUGACAUGAAACCAUGGAGUACGUUGUACCUGGUGAAUGCAUGUCGGCGACACAAAAGUCCUGGAGUGGGUCAGGAUCGGACGCAAUGGCCUGCCAUGAGACCAAGGCAAGAAGGGCAGCAAGGAGAANNNNNNNNNNNNNNNNNNNNNNNNNNNNNNNNNNNNNNNNNNNNNNNNNNNNNNNNNNNNNNNNNNNNNNNNNNNNNNNNNNNNNNNNNNNNNNNNNNNNACCCGGAAUGGUUAGAUGGUUUUGCCGGCACUACUAGGCUCGACUGGAUCUGUUCAUGGUCGUGGGCUUGGGCCUGGUCGAGCCUAAUCUGGAGUCUGGGGCCCAUCAUGGUGGAUCUGGUGGCCCAAGUCCCCUUGACUAAGUGUGAGUUGUGGUCCAAGCGAAAGCUCGACGCCUCCGUGCUGGUAACGUGAUGUCCUGGUAGUCAUGUCCCUCUUGGGGUCGUCGCCAUGGCUCUCUCGCCCUCUCAACUCAAGGUGAAAACCCUUAUGCGCACAUACAGAUGGAUGGUGGCGGCGUAUUGCGUCGUGACCCUCUUCGGGGAGUCACUAGUGAGUGCAGUUGUCCUUCAUUUGUGGUGGCUUGUUUGGAACGGUAUGACGAAACAAUUGACCCUACCUCACCUCCCGUGACUCACGGUUUUGCUUGCACCUAUCUUCUACACGCAACAACGUCAUCCUUUCAUCAUGUCUGCUCGCAGUCAACGUUCCUUGCUUUAGUUAGAUGGUCCUCUUCGACAUCCAUUGGCUGGUGAUGGCGCGAUGAAGUCCAGCAUUUUCCUCCAACUGGCGCGUGGUUGAAUGUCGUCAGCGGUGCUAGUUGAAUCUUCAGUUGGUCCAACCUCUCAUGUUCUUCCUCUCGAUGGCAUGUUGGAGGCAUCUAAUUGUGCACUUCAUGUGCUUGUUAGCAUGUUUGGCUUGUUUUGCCAAGCUUUCUUCCAUCAUCGUGUAUGAUGAUUUCCUCCACACCUUGUAAGCAUUGGACUUUAUGUAUGGGAAGCAGGCCGAAGUACGUUUUAGGGAUAAAAUACUUCUAUGACAAGCUUGUUACAAACAAGCAACUCAAAUUAUAAUCUGUUAUUUUGGGGGGGGGGGGAAGGGGGUAGGUAAUAAUCGUUUAUUCUGUAUAUUGAUGGAGCUGAUUUUUUGAACCUGGUCUCCGGUAUAUCCAGGUUCUAGAACUUGGGUGAAAAUCGUACUCCCUCUCUUCUUAAAUAUAAGUAUUUCUAGAGAUUUUAAUAUGGACUACACUCUAAAAUAUGUCUACACACAUCCGUAUAUAGUCCAUGUAGGAACCUCUACAAAGAUCUAUAUUUAGGAAUCGAGGGAGUAUUUCUAGUUCUCAACUUAAGAAAAACAAAUAAUGCUACGAGUUUUUUGAUAAAACGAAUCACCUCAUUAACUCCCAUCAAAGCAUCCGCCAAUCGAACUUGCAAGAGUUUGAACCAAUAUGAAUCUAAAACAUUACAUAGGAACCGUAAAUUUCCUAUUACAUGCACCAGAAAGCGAGAUACCAGAACAACGACUCAAGGAAGCAACUUUUGCACACUCAACUUUCACGUUUCAAUCAUGAGCACAAUCGGGCUCCAACCAUCGCAUACUUCACAUGUAUUGCAAGAAAGUCCUAGGUGUUCAACCGUAGCAUCAAACAUAUUUAAAUUACCACAUAAUUGUGUAUUGUUUCUUUUUUAACCUAAUCAUCUAUUGUUUCAGAACAAGGGGAAAAGAACCGAAAUUUUGAUUUGUUGUGAGAAAUACGAGACAUCAUAACCAAAAAAGCAUAUGAGAUCAUAUCAGUGUGAUAAAAAAAAAUGGUAUUGUCAAUUAUUUGGAAGGAAGAAAUGCAUUCAAUGUUUACAUACACACACCGACCUGACAUGUGCUCCAUUAAUUUUACAGCUUAAGAUGCAUGUCUAGAAACUUAACUAAUUCCUUGGUUUAUGCACUAAUCUUCCGGGUAAUCACCCAAUGCCUGACUUAGUUUUGGUUGUUCUCCCAGAACUGAGCCUGGAGCCAAUCUAUUGUAUUCUUUUCCACCUGAAACGCCUUGGCAAGAACAUCAUCUGAUAUUGUUGGGUCUGACGCAAAAACAGCAUUGGCAAUUGUGAUAGCCCCUGGGUUCUGGCUGCUGAGCGCGGCAAUGGCAACGGCGGGCUGGUGGGGGUUGGGGUUGAAUUGAAAGUGAAUGAGCCCCACGGGGAAGACAAACACAUCACCUUUGUUGAGCACCUUGGAGAGGAACUUGUUUCUGUUGGGGGCGGGCAGGUUGGACGUGACAAAUCCGACAUAUAGUGUCCCCUCGAGCACCGUGAGGAUCUCAGUGGCACGAGGGUGCGUGUGUGGUGGGUUCUGACCCAAGNNNNNNNNNNNNNNNNNNNNNNNNNNNNNNNNNNNNNNNNNNNNNNNNNNNNNNNNNNNNNNNNNNNNNNNNNNNNNNNNNNNNNNNNNNNNNNNNNNNNUGCGCCUGUUAUCAUCACAUCAAUAAGAUAUUACUCGGUCAAAAUUUUGUUAAAAUGGUUAAUUACAUUAAGUGUUGUUGGUAGUUUUGAUACAAAAAAUAUGUUCCCAUCAGACAAAUAAAAUGCAUCCAAAAAAUACAUGACCCAACAUCAUCCUCGUGGACGACAUGAGAGACGAUCUCGGCCGCCGUCCCUAGGACCCCACACUCUCAUCCUUCCCACACCGUCGUCGAUCAACAUCAUGCACAGCAAAGCCCGGGGUUACUUUAGGCAGCAGCGUUGUGUCCCGUCUCUCCACUCCACUCCCUGGUCUCUCUGGGUUGCUCCUAGGACCUCACACUUUUGGCGCUGCUAUCCCUCACAGCCGGAAGCAAGCCGUUGGCAUGAGGUUGCAAGGCGUGGCUUGUGGGAACGUGGUUCACCUGGUCAUUGACUGGGUAACGGAACUCUGCCAAAAGUCGGUGUUUUCCCAGAUCAACCAGCAUCAUGGUCGUUGACUUGUGAGGGGUGACUGUGGUCAGACAUGACGUGGUUGCCCAUCACCUCUCAUGGGAGAGGUUCCGCCACCGGUGAGCUCCUCCCUGCACCCACCCGGAAUGGUUAGGUGGGUUCGUCGGCACUACUAGGCUCGACUGGAUCUGUUCAUGGUCGUGGGCUUGGGCCUGGUCGAGCCUAAUCUGGAGUCUGGGGCCCAUCAUGGUGGAUCUGGUGGCCCAAGUCCCCUUGACUAAGUGUGAGUUGUGGUCCAAGCGAAAGCUCGACGCCUCCGUGCUGGUAACGUGAUGUCUUGGUAGUCAUGUCCCUCUUGGGGUCGUCGCCAUGGCUCUCUCGCCCUCUCAACUCAAGGUGAAAACCCUUAUGCGCACAUACAGAUGGAUGGUGGCGGCUGUUGGGAACGUCGCAUGGGAAACAAAAAAUUUCCUACGCGCACGAAGACCUAUCAUGGUGAUGUCCAUCUACGAGAGGGAAUGAGUGAUCUACGUACCCUCGUAGACCGUACAGCAGAAGCGUUAGAGAAUGCGGUUGAUGUAGUGGAACGUCCUCACGUCCCUCGAUCCGCCCCGCGAACAAUCCCGCGAUCAGUCCCACGAUCUAGUACCGAACGGACGGCACCUCCGCGUUCAGCACACGUACAGCUCGACGAUGAUCUCGGCCUUCUUGAUCCAGCAAGAGAGACGGAGAGGUAGAAGAGUUCUCCGGCAGCGUGACGGCGCUCCGGAGGUUGGUGAUGACCUUGUCUCAGCAGGGCUCCGCCCGAGCUCCGCAGAAACGCGAUCUAGAGGAAAAACCGUGGAGGUAUGUGGUCGGGCUGCCGUGGAAAAGUCGUCUCAAAUCAGCCCUAAAACCUCCUUAUAUAUAGGUGGGAGGGAGGGGGCCUUGCCUUGGGGCUCAAGGAGCCCCAAGGGGGUCGGCCGAGUCCAAGGGGGAGGACUCUCCCCCCCCCCCCAAACCGAGUUGGACUAGGUUUGGUGGGAGGGAGUCCCCCUUCCUUCCCACCUCCUCCUUUUUUUUUCUUUCUCUCUUGAUUUUCUUCUCCUUGGCGCAUAGGGCACUUGUGGGCUGUCCCACCAGCCCAGGUGUGGCUCCCCCAAUGCCUAUGGGCUUCCCCGGGGUGGGUUGCCCCCCCCCCCCCGGUGAACUCCCGGAACCCAUUCGUCAUUCCCGGUAACUCCGAAAACCUUCCGGUAAUCAAAUGAGGUCAUCCUAUAUAUCAAUCUUCGUUUCCGGACCAUUCCGGAAACCCUCGUGACGUCCGUGAUCUCAUCCGGGACUCCGAACAACAUUCGGUAACCAACCAUAUAACUCAAAUACGCAUAAAACAACGUCGAACCUUAAGUGUGCAGACCCUGUGGGUUCGAGAACUAUGUAGACAUGACCCGAGAGACUCCUCGGUCAAUAUCCAAUAGCGGGACCUGGAUGCCCAUAUUGGAUCCUACAUAUUCUACGAAGAUCUUAUCGUUUGAACCUCAGUGCCAAGGAUUCGUAUAAUCCCGUAUGUCAUUCCCUUUGUCCUUCGGUAUGUUACUUGCCCGAGAUUCGAUCGUCAGUAUCCGCAUACCUAUUUCAAUCUCGUUUACCGGCAAGUCUCUNNNNNNNNNNNNNNNNNNNNNNNNNNNNNNNNNNNNNNNNNNNNNNNNNNNNNNNNNNNNNNNNNNNNNNNNNNNNNNNNNNNNNNNNNNNNNNNNNNNNAGUUAGAUGGUCCUCUUCGACAUCCAUUGGCUGGUGAUGGCGCGAUGAAGUCCAGCAUUUUCCUCCAACUGGCGCGUGGUUGAAUGUCGUCAGCGGUGCUAGUUGAAUCUUCAGUUGGUCCAACCUCUCAUGUUCUUCCUCUCGAUGGCAUGUUGGAGGCAUCUAAUUGUGCACUUCAUGUGCUUGUUAGCAUGUUUGGCUUGUUUUGCCAAGCUUUCUUCCAUCAUCGUGUAUGAUGAUUUCCUCCACACCUUGUAAGCAUUGGACUUUAUGUAUGGGAAGCAGGCCGAAGUACGUUUUAGGGAUAAAAUACUUCUAUGACAAGCUUGUUACAAACAAGCAACUCAAAUUAUAAUCUGUUUUUUUUUGGGGGGGGGGGGGGAAGGGGGUAGGUAAUAAUCGUUUAUUCUGUAUAUUGAUGGAGCUGAUUUUUUGAACCUGGUCUCCGGUAUGUCCAGGUUCUAGAACUUGGUGAAAAUCGUACUCCCUCUCUUCUUAAAUAUAAGUAUUUCUAGAGAUUUUAAUAUGGACUACAUACGGAGCAAAAGGAGUGAACGUACACUCUAAAAUAUGUCUACACACAUCCAUAUAUAGUCCAUGUAGGAACCUCUACAAAGAUCUAUAUUUAGGAAUCGAGGGAGUAUUUCUAGUUCUCAACUUAAGAAAAACAAAUAAUGCUACGAGUUUUUUGAUAAAACGAAUCACCUCAUUAACUCCCAUCAAAGCAUCCGCCAAUCGAACUUGCAAGAGUUUGAACCAACAUGAAUCUAAAACAUUANNNNNNNNNNNNNNNNNNNNNNNNNNNNNNNNNNNNNNNNNNNNNNNNNNNNNNNNNNNNNNNNNNNNNNNNNNNNNNNNNNNNNNNNNNNNNNNNNNNNGAACGUAGUUACUUAAACGUAACGAACACACAACUAUAAUAUUAGUUUGGGUUUGGGGUUGGGGUGGGGGAAGGGGGUAGGUAAUAAUCGUUUAUUCUGUAUAUUGAUGGAGCUGAUUUUUUGAACCUGGUCUCCGGUAUGUCCAGGUUCUAGAACUUGGUGAAAAUCGUACUCCCUCUCUUCUUAAAUAUAAGUAUUUCUAGAGAUUUUAAUAUGGACUACAUACGGAGCAAAAGGAGUGAACGUACACUCUAAAAUAUGUCUACACACAUCCAUAUAUAGUCCAUGUAGGAACCUCUACAAAGAUCUAUAUUUAGGAAUCGAGGGAGUAUUUCUAGUUCUCAACUUAAGAAAAACAAAUAAUGCUACGAGUUUUUUGAUAAAACGAAUCACCUCAUUAACUCCCAUCAAAGCAUCCGCCAAUCGAACUUGCAAGAGUUUGAACCAACAUGAAUCUAAAACAUUACAAGAGCAGUUAAAAUUUCCUUGUCAAAGAGAUCUCAUCAUGACCAAUUCAGUGCAUAAAUCUAACGAUCUAGUCCUGACAAAGGUUCAUGACUAGUUUUUGUCAUGGAUGUUCUGAUCCAUGUAUCUUACAACAAGAAGCAUGGCUGAUUUACACUCCAACAAGGAAGAACGGGAAGCUACCAACCCCGAGGAGGAGGAGGAGCGGGCCCGCUGUUGGCGGGUGUAGUCCCAGAUUGCGAUGGCGGCGUUGACAUGGACGUUGAGCGACCGGACGACGCCCAGCUGCAGGAUCUAAACGCACACGUCCACCGCCUCCUGGAUGAUGUCCACCGGGAUGCCCUCCUAACUGCCCAGCACCACCAUCGUCUUCUCCGGGAACGAGAACUCGUCCAGGGCUGGGCAGUUUCAAGCCAACACGACAAGAUAGCUCAAGUUCAAGUGCUUACAUUCAGAAAGUUAUUUACUCUCUCCAAAACCGACACUGGAACACAUUCAAAGCUAGACGACUGCAUAAAAACAAGGCAUAUUCUUUAUUUUUUGCGAGAAAAAUAAGGCAUAUUCAGAAUUACAACAGAAAGGCCGAAAGGUUCAGUGCCCCAUAAAAAACAUAACUACCGCCCUAGAGUCGUCCGUCUUAUUCAUUUCUUCACAAAAUAAACAGUGUCCUCAAAUUUCUAGGAGACAGAGAAUACAACGAAUCUCAGUGCAAGUUGUAAAUAUUCCCGUUGGAGUCCCAGAUGUAUUGGGAUAAAAAACAUCAAGAAAACCUUCAAUUGAAACUCUGAGCCUGUAAUCAAAACAUAUACGGAGGAUACAAACACUCAAGAUGGAAAUAUUUAUAAUUAACACCUUUCUAGAUUAAGAGAAGGACAUCAAGUAAGGUAUAUCGGUUUCUUUUAGAGAAAACUAAGGUAUAUAUAAGUGUAGUAACUUGACACUAUUAGUUACGGAAGAAAUCUAUGAGUAAACUCGUGAUGGUACACAGAGAGAAGUUUUAUCACUGAGAGAAGUAUAGCCCAAGUAUGUGGGCUAUACUCCAGGAACUACCGUAAACUACUUAUUACAUGCCCUGGAAAGGCAGACCACAACAACGACUCAAGGAAGCAACGUUUGCACAUUCAACUUGCACGUUGAAACCUCUGAGCACAUUACUAAAUAAUCAUCUAUUGGCUUCUGAAUAGUAUUUUGCAUAAACUUUUCUAAGUUUGCUUUUUAAUAUGCUUAAGCGCUAAUGCAUCAUCCGAUGUAUGACUGAGUAGUAAUUACAAUUAUUUAUCCAUCUCAACCAAGUCAGCACAAUGCAUGGAGCNNNNNNNNNNNNNNNNNNNNNNNNNNNNNNNNNNNNNNNNNNNNNNNNNNNNNNNNNNNNNNNNNNNNNNNNNNNNNNNNNNNNNNNNNNNNNNNNNNNNGUAAUCCUAAGCUGACACUCUACAUCGUCCGUCCUAGUGCACCAGUGCGUGUCAAUGGGUUGUUUGCAAGACCCAAUGGAUGCCAACGCUGAUGACUUCUCAAGGCAGCCGCCUGCAGCAGGNCACAGUGGCCAGUACCUUGAUCAACGUCAUGCAGAUUGCUGGACUCAANACCCUCGGCAUCUCAAUUGCACGCAUCGACUAUGCUCCCCUUUGGGGUCAGAACCCACCACACACGCACCCUCGUGCCACUGAGAUCCUCACGGUGCUCGAGGGGACACUAUAUGUCGGAUUUGUCAC